CUACGGGCGGCAGCAGCGAGGAAUAUUGCACAAUGGGGGAAACCCUGAUGCAGCAACGCCGCGUGGAGGAUGACGCAUUUCGGUGUGUAAACUCCUUUUAUGAGUCAAGAAAAUGACGGUAGCUCAUGAAUAAGCACCGGCUAACUCCGUGCCAGCAGCCGCGGUAAUACGGAGGGUGCAAGCGUUACUCGGAAUCACUGGGCGUAAAGGACGCGUAGGCGGCGUAGCAAGUCAGGUGUGAAAUCCUAUGGCUUAACCAUAGAACUGCACUUGAAACUGCUAGGCUAGAGUAUGGGAGGGGGAGAUGGAAUUAGUGGUGUAGGGGUAAAAUCCGUAGAUAUCACUAGGAAUAUCUAAAGCGAAGGCGAUCUCCUGGAACAUUACUGACGCUAAGGCGUGAAAGCGUGGGGAGCAAACAGGAUUAGAUACCCCCGUAGUC
Molecule: ribosomal RNA, 439 nt
Filed under: uncultured bacterium
Lineage: Bacteria
Description: partial 16S ribosomal RNA
Rfam family: Bacterial small subunit ribosomal RNA
Source: RNAcentral